CUAAAAAAGAAAGGAACUUCAUUAUUAUAUAUCAAUUGCACUAGACAUUCAAUCAGGAUUGUAAUUUACUAAUGGCAAUCUUUUGGAAGUAAAAAGUUUACACACUCAAGAAUCAAUCAAACUCGAUCAUUUUAGCAUCAACUGAAACUAUAAAUUGAAGAGAAUAGGUAAUCAUCAGUAUUUGCAAGUAUUAUGUUGGGCUAUGGGGCAUCAUGGACCUGCGAUUAGAUCCGUGCAUCCUUUUCUGUUCUAUUCCUAAAAUAGCAAUCUAAGACUUGUUGAUAGUUUGCGAAUGGCUUAAGUGACUCAAAAUUAGAAAGCUAUGCUCUUUGACUCGGGGCCUCCUCCCACAGCUUGUCAUGGCAUCCACAAAAACCAAUCCACAAUAUUCCAACUGCAGAGUUUGUCCAGAAAAGGAGCUCCUCACUCUGAAAAUGCAUCUCUCAAACACCGAUUGCAGGAUGCUACAACAGUAGGGAUAAUCUUCCUUUCACAACCAUCUAAAAGCAGUAAGACUCAUUGCUCUUCUGAACUUUGUAUGUUUAUUAAAUGUUCUUCAAGACUCUUAGCGGAAUCUUCAUUAACUAACCAUGUCACAGUUCCUGCAGUAAAAUACAAGAGAUGAGGCUAACAAAUGACGUCAUAAGCUCACAUUAAUAGCAUGUUUGCCACAAACAAAAACAGAUAGUAAUCCUACUAUGAAAAAAGCAUAUACAAACAGUCAACUAUAACAAUGCAACCUGAAUUUCAGAACAUUUUAAUUGACAGGCAACCAGAAAAUCUGUUCAAAUGUGAGAAGUCAGAGGAUUUUGGAUAUGUGCCAACAUCAGGGCAAAACACCCGCUUGUCAGUACACAGUUUGUUCUGGCAUCAUAUGGACUCAGCUGAAGAAAACAAAGACUUUCCUGCAGAUUAUUUUCUAGAUACAGAGAAACAAGAUAAUCAAUAUAAUAGCAUCAUUUGCUUGACAAAAUUUUUGGGUUUCUAAUGACACCCAUGGACUCCAUAUUAAGGAGGAUAACCUCCAAGUUCCUAGUCAACACACACACACACACACAGAGAAUGUUUCCCAUCUUUCAGAUGCAGACAAUUAGAGUUUAAGGACUUCAUGUAAUAUGGAUUUCAUUAUCCAGAUUUUCAUUAGGACUCAUUUGGAAUAUGUUUUUUACGCAUAUGUUGGUCCUUGCACUGUCUUAUAUGUGUGUUUAUUUCAGUAAAUUAGUUGCUGUCAGUAUUUUUACAUUUAGGGGCAAGGUUGACUCUUUUAAUUUCUAUCUUCGCUAGAAUAGGCUGGGAUAGAUGACUUCAAACUUACGUUGAAUCUUGGUUUUUCCCAGAGCUUUACUUUUAGUUCAAAGCACAAAUCCUUUCAGGCUUGAGAUCAGUUUUAUGAGUCCAGCUCCUUAAUAUUUAUACGUAAUUUAAGAACAAAUAUAUUAAUGCCCUUAAUGCUUUCAUUAUCUGUAUCUUAUAUAAACAGCAUGAAGUGUGACAUUUGGAAUGCUGAAAAAUGUCCUUAGAAACUCUAGUUAUUACAAUUCUGCCACGCCUUUUAAAUUGUAUUCGAUUUGUCAUUUGAUUUAAUUACAAGUUUGCCAUUUUUAGCUGUAAAAUUUUUUGGGGAUGUCAAAAAAUGUCCUUUUAAACUCUAUUUAAUUACAAAUUUGCCAGUUCCUCUUAAAUUCUAUUUAACCAUGUCCUUAAACUAACAUAAGAUGGCAAAAUUAUAUUGAUUAAUUAGAAUUAUGAGAGUUAUAGAGGAUUCCUUGAGAUUUGGCGAAACUUAUAACUUAAUCCCUUAAAUUUUUUUUUCCCCCAAAGGUAGAUUGCAUUAAUAGCCCAAGGAGGGCAAGGAAAACAUACAAAGUUAAACUGAGUCGAAGGAUUUAGAUAGAAAGAAUCAUCCCCUAGCAAGACAGUAGGCUGCAGAGUUCCUUAUCCUGUUGACAUGAGCAAAGUUUAUCAUAUCCAAAUUUCUACUCAAACAAAUGGAGUCUGAAAUAACACGUUGAAUGAUUGGAUGCUGCAUAAACCUCUACACUGAUUAAUUAUCAAUAGAGCAUUGCCUUCAAUAAUAACUCUUUGGAGCUUCAUGCGAUUAGCUAGUAUUGUUGCUUCUCGACAAGCCAAGGCUUCCAAAAUUAUAGGUUCUGUAAUACCAUGGAACCUCCUACAGAACCAUCCCAGCAGCUUGCUAUCAGCAUUUCUAGCUACGACAACUACUGCGCCCAUCUUUGAAGACUAACAGACUGCUCCCUCAAAAUUGAUUUUAACAACUCCUUGUGGUGGAGGGAACCAAGUCAUGGGUGAAAUGUAAUGGCCCGGCCCACUAG
RNAcentral lists this unclassified non-coding RNA (2333 nucleotides) under Hevea brasiliensis (rubber tree). The record is from RNAcentral. Lineage: Eukaryota; Viridiplantae; Streptophyta; Magnoliopsida; Malpighiales; Euphorbiaceae.